UUUUUGUUUUUUUUUUUUCCAUUGUUAUUAACAACACAAUCUUUGAUUUGAAUCCUAUGUGAUCAUAAUGUUUAAUUAUACGUGAUUGUCUUGAGUUUACUUGACUUAGGUAAUAUCAUUUCACUAGUUUGUUACUUGCAUUGAUGGCUCCAUAUUCAUUAAUAUUACUACUUAGAUUAAUUUAUUUAAUUAUGUAACACUUAGUUUGUGCGUGUACAUGAAUUUCAAGUGAUUAGUUUUUAAAAUCGUAUUCAUUUUAGGCUAGCAUUAGAGAAUGUUUGUCGAGUUCAUUAGAGGAGGACAUUAUUCCAUCACCGUCUAUUGCUAGGAGUAAUUGGCUGGAGCUACUGUCAAAGCUUAUCUCUAAGAAAUAUUACAUUGAGUAUGUUAAAAUGGCGUAAUGGCUUAUGAAUGCAGGAGACACUUGACUUACAAGCCUGCCAAUUGCAUCUAAUCUUUGUGUAGGUUGGCAUUGUUCAUGCUAUCAAUAAGCUUCAUAGUGAUCUACCAGGUUUGAACUUAGCUGUGUCCCUUCAUGCACCAGUUCAAGAGUUUGUUGCCAGAAAACGCCUGCAGCUCGAGCUUUUCCUCUGGAAAGACUUAUGAAUGCACUUCAUGUACAUCAAAAGCAAUUGAUUCACAAUGUUUCUUGAAAAUUAAUUUGCAAUUUUCUCUCGGUGACUCCCCCCCUCUCUUUUUGCGAGAUAUUUCAGAUUUUAACUCAUUUUUUAAUGUUAAACUUUCAGUCAGCAAAAAAUAUUUGUUGAGUACAUAGUGCUGGAUAAGGUGAAUGAUGAAGAGCCACAUGCUCACCAGCUUGGCAAACUGCUAGAGACAUCUCAAGUGGUAACAAUUGAUGUUGCAAGUCCAGAAGCAGCUUGUAGCCAAAGGAAAAACUGUGGAACCAAGUUUCAAAAUUGCUAUCAUUUCAAAGUCUGGUGAAGGUGUAGCUCAUGUAGCUCCCUUGAGGAAAAUACCAGAGAGGACUGCUUCUAAGCCAUCUCUUGCUGAAAAGAUAGAAGAGGAGAAGCCAAAACCUAAAGUUGAAACAGCAGCUGUCAUGGAUAAGCAGCCUAAAGCACCCUGUCUGCCACCUCCUAAGUGCUCUGCAACUUAGCCCCGGCUUCCACCUAAGGACAGGGAAAGACGGAUUGUGCAUGAUUGCAAGUUCCUAUGACAAGGCUACGGAAUAGGGUUUUUACAACAUUGAAGGACUCUCAGAAUACAUUUGCAAUGUUGACAACAUUCAAUCAAGUUGAUAUGGCAUGGCAUCUUGUUAGGAGUGUUUCUAUGAUAGGACAUGUAUAUACCCGUUAAAAGAAAGAAAGAGACAACAGAGCCACAAGCACGAGACAGGACAAGUGUCACUCAUGCAAAAAUUAAGGUUGGACCACAAAGACAGAGGACUGGAACGUGGCAAGAGCAGAGCAUGGGAGACGGUUAUGGAGAGAAAAUAAAAGCUGGAAAUGAAUCAAGAGGAAGGAAGGGAAGAAACUUGAGGAGAAGGGAGUGAAGGGAGAGUUUCUAGCCUCUCGAAUGCUGGAUAGUUUUUGUUCUUGGUCUUUUUUUUUUUUUUUUUUAAUGCUGAGUUUUAUGCUGAAUACAGUAGCAGAGAGCUGUAUUUGUAUUACUGAAACCUUAUCAAUACAAUUAGUAUUUUUCGUA
Mangifera indica (mango) is the source of this 1665-nucleotide RNA transcript. RefSeq lists it as uncharacterized. The record is from RefSeq and is a predicted model, not a curated record. The transcript is spliced from 5 exons. Lineage: Eukaryota; Viridiplantae; Streptophyta; Magnoliopsida; Sapindales; Anacardiaceae.